Molecule: small RNA, 81 nt
Filed under: Salmonella enterica subsp. houtenae serovar 44:z36,[z38]:-
Lineage: Bacteria; Pseudomonadati; Pseudomonadota; Gammaproteobacteria; Enterobacterales; Enterobacteriaceae
Description: partial RtT sRNA
Rfam family: RtT RNA
About the family: This family represents a bacterial cis-regulatory element known as RtT RNA. The exact function of RtT is unknown although it is thought that it may be involved in changing the cellular response in relation to amino acid starvation.
Source: RNAcentral
UAUCUCUCUGUACAGGGAAGGAUGAGAAUCUUCGAUUAAGGUUCGACUCGAGCGGAAGCGAGAGAACGUUGCCAACGGCAA